GUUGUAUAGUCAAGUAAUUAAGUGCAUGUGGUGGAUGCCUUGGCAGUCAGAGGCGAUGAAAGACGUGAUAGCCUGCGAAAAGCUCCGGGGAGGCGGCAAAUAUCCUUUGAUCCGGAGAUGUCUGAAUGGGGGAACCCACCUACUUUAAGGUAGGUAUUGCAACAUGAAUACAUAGUGUUGCAAGGCGAACGAGGGGAAGUGAAACAUCUCAGUACCCUUAGGAAAAGAAAUCAAUUGAGAUUCCCUCAGUAGCGGCGAGCGAACGGGGAUCAGCCCAUUAAGUUAUGUGUGUUUUAGUGGAACGCUCUGGGAAGUGCGAACGUAGAGGGUGAUAUUCCCGUACACGAAAGGGCACACAUAAUGAUGACGAGUAGGGCGAGGCACGUGAAACCUUGUCUGAAUAUGGGGGGACCAUCCUCCAAGGCUAAAUACUCCUGACUGACCGAUAGUGAACCAGUACCGUGAGGGAAAGGCGAAAAGAACCCCUGUGAGGGGAGUGAAAUAGAUCCUGAAACCGCAUGCAUACAAGCAGUGGGAGCACCUUCGUGGUGUGACUGCGUACCUUUUGUAUAAUGGGUCAGCGACUUAUAUUCAGUAGCGAGGUUAACCGUAUAGGGGAGCCGUAGAGAAAUCGAGUCUUAAUAGGGCGUUUAGUUGCUGGGUAUAGACCCGAAACCAGGCGAUCUAUCCAUGAGCAGGUUGAAGGUUGGGUAACACUAACUGGAGGACCGAACCCACUGUCGUUGAAAAGCCAGGGGAUGACUUGUGGAUAGGGGUGAAAGGCUAAUCAAGCCUGGUGAUAGCUGGUUCUCCCCGAAAGCUAUUUAGGUAGCGCCUCGGACGAAUACCAUAGGGGGUAGAGCACUGUUUCGGCUAGGGGGUCAUCCCGACUUACCAAACCGAUGCAAACUCCGAAUACCUAUGAGUACUAUCCGGGAGACAGACUGCGGGUGCUAACGUCCGUAGUCAAGAGGAAAACAAUCCAGACCGCCAGCUAAGGCCCCAAAAUCAUAGUUAAGUGGGAAACGAUGUGGGAAGGCAUAGACAGCUAGGAGGUUGGCUUAGAAGCAGCCACCCUUUAAAGAAAGCGUAAUAGCUCACUAGUCGAGUCGGCCUGCGCGGAAGAUGUAACGGGGCUAAAACUAUGUGCCGAAGCUGCGGAUGUAUACUUUGUAUACGUGGUAGGGGAGCGUUCUGUAAGCCGAUGAAGGUGUGUUGAGAAGCAUGCUGGAGGUAUCAGAAGUGCGAAUGCUGACGUGAGUAACGACAAAACGGGUGAAAAACCCGUUCGCCGAAAGACCAAGGGUUCCAGUCCAACGUUAAUCGGGGCUGGGUGAGUCGACCCCUAAGGCGAGGCCGAAAGGCGUAGUCGAUGGGAAAAUGGUUAAUAUUCCAUUACUUCUGUGUAAUGCGAUGAGAGGACGGAGAAGGCUAAAUCAGCCUGGCGUUGGUUGUCCAGGUGAAAGGAUGUAGGCAUGUAUCUUAGGCAAAUCCGGGGUACUCUAUGCUGAGAUCUGAUAGCAAGCUGUACUUGUACAGCGAAGUGGUUGAUGCCAUGCUUCCAGGAAAAGUCUCUAAGCUUCAGUUACACAGGAAUCGUACCCGAAACCGACACAGGUGGUCAGGUCGAGUAGACCAAGGCGCUUGAGAGAACUCUGCUGAAGGAACUAGGCAAAAUGGUACCGUAACUUCGGGAGAAGGUACGCUGUUGUUGGUGAUGGAACUCGCUUCCUGAGCUGACGACAGCCGCAGAAACCAGGCCGCUGCAACUGUUUAUUAAAAACAUAGCACUCUGCAAACACGAAAGUGGACGUAUAGGGUGUGAUGCCUGCCCGGUGCUGGAAGGUUAAUUGAUGGGGUUAGCGUAAGCGAAGCUCUUGAUCGAAGCCCCAG
This 1893-nucleotide ribosomal RNA is filed under the name Acinetobacter baumannii. RNAcentral describes it as "partial 23S ribosomal RNA". It matches the Rfam family "Bacterial large subunit ribosomal RNA", at positions 1 to 1923 of the family's 2925-position model. The record is from RNAcentral. Lineage: Bacteria; Pseudomonadati; Pseudomonadota; Gammaproteobacteria; Moraxellales; Moraxellaceae.